UACAGAGGUCUCGAGCGUUAGGCGGAAUCACUGGGCUUAAAGCGUGUGUAGGCGGAUCGGUAAGUACCUUGUGAAAUCCCACAGCUUAACUGUGGAACUGCUUGGUAUACUGCCGGUCUUGAGCCAGCUAGGGGCUACCGGAACAAAUGGUGGAGCGGUGAAAUGCGUAGAUAUCAUUUGGAACGCCAAUGGUAAAAACAGGUAGCUGGGGCUGUGCUGACGCUGAGACACGAAAGCCAGGGGAGCAAACGGG
This 253-nucleotide ribosomal RNA is filed under the name uncultured bacterium. RNAcentral's name for it is "partial 16S ribosomal RNA". It matches the Rfam family "Bacterial small subunit ribosomal RNA", at positions 524 to 776 of the family's 1533-position model. The record is from RNAcentral.